AUUGAACGCUGGCGGCAGGCUUAACACAUGCAAGUCGAGCGGGGUGAUGGUGCUUGCACUAUCACUUAGCGGCGGACGGGUGAGUAAUGCUUAGGAAUCUGCCUAUUAGUGGGGGACAACAUCUCGAAAGGGAUGCUAAUACCGCAUACGUCCUACGGGAGAAAGCAGGGGAUCACUUGUGACCUUGUGCUAAUAGAUGAGCCUAAGUCGGAUUAGCUAGUUGGUGGGGUAAAGGCCUACCAAGGCGACGAUCUGUAGCGGGUCUGAGAGGAUGAUCCGCCACACUGGGACAGAGACACGGCCCAGGCUCCUACGGGAGGCAGCAGUGGGGAAUAUUGGACAAUGGGGGGAACCCUGAUCCAGCCAUGCCGCGUGUGUGAAGAAGGCCUUAUGGUUGUAGAGCACUUUAAGCGAGGAGGAGGCUUACCUAGUUAAUACCUGGGAUAAGUGGACGUUACUCGCAGAAUAAGCACCGGCUAACUCUGUGCCAGCCGCCGCCGUAA
Molecule: ribosomal RNA, 503 nt
Filed under: uncultured bacterium
Lineage: Bacteria
Description: partial 16S ribosomal RNA
Rfam family: Bacterial small subunit ribosomal RNA
Source: RNAcentral